Molecule: ribosomal RNA, 495 nt
Filed under: uncultured bacterium
Lineage: Bacteria
Description: bacterial SSU rRNA
Rfam family: Bacterial small subunit ribosomal RNA
Source: RNAcentral
CGGCGUGCCUAACACAUGCAAGUCGAACGGAGUAUAUUCGCUGCAGAGAUUUCGGUCGAAGCUUGAGUAUACUUAGUGGCGGACGGGUGAGUAACGCGUGGGCAACCUGCCUCAUACUGGGGGAUAGCAGUUGGAAACGACUGAUAAUACCGCAUAAGCGCACAGCAUCGCAUGAUGCAGUGUGAAAAACUCCGGUGGUAUGAGAUGGGCCCGCGUCAGAUUAGCCAGUUGGCAGGGUAACGGCCUACCAAAGCGACGAUCUGUAGCCGGCCUGAGAGGGCGGACGGCCACAUUGGGACUGAGACACGGCCCAAACUCCUACGGGAGGCAGCAGUGGGGGAUAUUGCACAAUGGAGGAAACUCUGAUGCAGCGACGCCGCGUGAAGUGAAGAAGUAUUUCGGUAUGUAAAGCUCUAUCAGCAGGGAAGAAAGACUCGCAAGAGAGAUGACGGUACCUGACUAAGAAGCCCCGGCUAACUACGUGCCAGCCGCGGC